AUGCCGUGUGCAGUGGGCUCCACAUCCAAGUCUUGUCCGUCCUCCGCAGCAAGGAGCUGGGCCAAGGGAGCAAAUAGCGCCACUGGUUCCUUCACGGAUGCGUGUUGCUGGUCGAGUCUUGUGGAGAAGCAAGGUGAAUUGGGCAUUGUCUCAAUUGUUACGCUGUGUAGCUCCAGGCCUAGGAAAUUUCAAGUUCGAAGCGGCGUGUAG
Molecule: ribosomal RNA, 210 nt
Filed under: Triticum aestivum (bread wheat)
Lineage: Eukaryota; Viridiplantae; Streptophyta; Magnoliopsida; Poales; Poaceae
Description: partial small subunit ribosomal RNA
Source: RNAcentral